GGAGACAUACUAGUUUGCAAUAGAAAAGUGAAGCAAAUAGGAUCAAAGAGUCAGGCCUUGGCUUUCAGCAGGCUAGACAGUGCAAUAAACACAAGUAAUAGGAAGAAUUGCAAUGGAGAGUGUGUAUGAAUAAGAGUUUGUGUGUGUUUCUGUAUCUUUCUAUAUAUGUUUUUGUGUUCGAAAGAAGUCUAAGUGGGGAACUAUAUAGCACUUAGAAGGGUAAAACAAACAAGGUAAAGAAUAAUCCAGAGUUCACAAAUAAGAUAUACAAAUAAAAUCAAUCAGUUAAUUGGGGCUAAACUAAAUCAAAUAACUCAAUUGAAUCCGGGAAAGACACUUUAAAAUAGGGAAAAUGAUUAAUAGCCUAGAUUGGGGUUUAAACAAGGCAAUAUAAUCAAUCAAACUCUAUCUUGGAGUCAGUUAAAGAAAUCAAAUCCCAUAAAUCUGGUUAAUAAACUAAUUAAGGCAGGUAGUACCAAUUAGAGGUCACAAAUAAGGAAAAUAGGUAAAAAUCACAAAGAAGUACCAAUCUCGGCAGAAAAAUAUAACUUGAACCCCAAUAAAAUUAGCAAUCUCUUUUAAUUGACAGAGGUAAAAAAACAAGCAAAUAACAGAA
RNAcentral lists this long non-coding RNA (616 nucleotides) under Nicotiana benthamiana. RNAcentral describes it as "long non-coding RNA (NBEN_LNC019935)". The record is from RNAcentral. Lineage: Eukaryota; Viridiplantae; Streptophyta; Magnoliopsida; Solanales; Solanaceae.